AUGAACGCUGGCGGCGUGCUUAACACCUGCAAGUCGAACGAAGCACUUUAUUUGAUUUCCUUCGGGACUGAUUAUUUUGUGACUGAGUGGCGGACGGGUGAGUAACGCGUGGGUAACCUGCCUUGUACAGGGGGAUAACAGUUGGAAACGGCUGCUAAUACCGCAUAAGCGCACAGCAUCGCAUGAUGCAGUGUGAAAAACUCCGGUGGUAUAAGAUGGACCCGCGUUGGAUUAGCUAGUUGGUGAGGUAACGGCCCACCAAGGCGACGAUCCAUAGCCGACCUGAGAGGGCGACCGGCCACAUUGGGACUGAGACACGGCCCAAACUCCUACGGGAGGCAGCAGUGGGGAAUAUUGCACAAUGGGCGAAAGCCUGAUGCAGCGACGCCGCGUGAGCGAAGAAGUAUUUCGGUAUGUAAAGCUCUAUCAGCAGGGAAGAUAAUGACGGUACCUGACUAAGAAGCACCGGCUAAAUACGUG
RNAcentral lists this ribosomal RNA (480 nucleotides) under uncultured bacterium. Its description in RNAcentral is "partial 16S ribosomal RNA". It matches the Rfam family "Bacterial small subunit ribosomal RNA", at positions 29 to 507 of the family's 1533-position model. The record is from RNAcentral.